RNAcentral lists this transfer RNA (74 nucleotides) under Candidatus Pacearchaeota archaeon. Its description in RNAcentral is "tRNA-Thr". It matches the Rfam family "tRNA". From Rfam's summary of the family: Transfer RNA (tRNA) molecules are approximately 80 nucleotides in length. Their secondary structure includes four short double-helical elements and three loops (D, anti-codon, and T loops). Lineage: Archaea; Nanobdellati. The record is from RNAcentral.
GCCUCUGUAGCUCAGCUGGUUAGAGCGCUUGUUUCGUAAACAAGAGGUCGGGGGUUCGAAUCCCUCCAGAGGCU